Molecule: long non-coding RNA, 979 nt
Filed under: Fukomys damarensis (Damara mole-rat)
Lineage: Eukaryota; Metazoa; Chordata; Mammalia; Rodentia; Bathyergidae
Description: lncRNA (ENSFDAG00000032517.1)
Source: RNAcentral
GGCGGUGCUGGUGGGAGGCCGUGGUGAUCAGACUCGUGGGCUGGAGCCCGGACACGAGAGCGCCCAGGGAAGGUGAUCAUUCGCAGUUGAGCCCGAGUGUGACAGCUGCCUGGCGGUGUUGACGGUGAUCCUGUAACUGGCAGAGCUUUCCUCUUGGUCUUGGAGAGAAUUUCCUGGAGCACUUGAAGAAGCCACGGGUCCUGGGAGGGCGUUCUGAGAGGCUUCACACCCCAUCCAGCCAGUCUCCCUCGGACGGUAUCCCGGAUUUACCACUCUGCGCCACAGGCCUGGGAUUAGGGUACCGGUGACCCCAGUGCUGUCAGCAGCUCUGGGUGGGCCUGUUUGUGCACAGAAGAAGGCUCCUGCCUCUUGUCUGACACUCACUGUCGCUUUGCCAGCCACUCCUUCCCUGCCAGGGACAGUGGGUCCUCCUGUAUUUUGUAGCUGCAGGAGCUGUGUCUCAGGUGGGGCUGAGAUGAUUCCCCAAGCGCACAGCCAGGAAGCACUUGAUCCCUUGGCAUUUCGACCCCAGGCCUGGGACAGUGCCCCUCGGCUUUUAUGUUCGUUUUCCCUGUGCUGACGCCCGAGGGGCCCAGGCAGCCCUGCCCUGGUAGGUGGGUUGACCCAGCUGCAGACCAGGUCCCUGGAGGUUGUCUUGAGCCUCACGUCCCAGCGAAGCCCCGCACCUGUCCGCUGGCCUCCACCAGCACCUCCUGCGUUCACAGAGCCACUCGCAGCCCUGAUCGCGCUGGGUUCCGUCUUCCUGGCCUUGGCUUGGGUGGCUCCCUGCGCCACUCUCCUCCACCGGCAGACUUCUCCCUGUACUUCGGAGCCUGGCCUGGGGGCCUCCUGCAGAGGCCCGGGAACCUGUCAGCCUUCCAGGAUGCAGGCUGCGGGCUGACCUGUCGCUGACGUGGGCUCCCAGGCUGGACCUGCCCCGGCCCGGCAUGCGCCUCUCUGUGCGCAGGGCGCUGCUGGC